RNAcentral lists this ribosomal RNA (497 nucleotides) under uncultured bacterium. Its description in RNAcentral is "partial 16S ribosomal RNA". It matches the Rfam family "Bacterial small subunit ribosomal RNA", at positions 28 to 507 of the family's 1533-position model. The record is from RNAcentral.
GAUGAACGCUGGCGGCGUGCCUAAUACAUGCAAGUCGAGCGAACAGACGAGGAGCUUGCUCCUCUGACGUUAGCGGCGGACGGGUGAGUAACACGUGGAUAACCUACCUAUAAGACUGGGAUAACUUCGGGAAACCGGAGCUAAUACCGGAUAAUAUAUUGAACCGCAUGGUUCAAUAGUGAAAGACGGUUUUGCUUUCACUUAUAGAUUGAUCCGCGCCGCAUUAGCUAGUUGGUAAGGUAACGGCUUACCAAGGCAACGAUGCGUAGCCGACCUGAGAGGGUGAUCGGCCACACUGGAACUGAGACACGGUACAGACUCCUACGGGAGGCAGCAGUAGGGAAUCUUCCGCAAUGGGCGAAAGCCUGACGGAGCAACGCCGCGUGAGUGAUGAAGGUCUUCGGAUCGUAAAACUCUGUUAUUAGGGAAGAACAAAUGUGUAAGUAACUAUGCACGUCUUGACGGUACCUAAUCAGAAAGCCACGGCUAACUACGUG